UACGUAGGUGGCAAGCGUUGUCCGGAUUUACUGGGCGUAAAGAGCGCGCAGGCGGUCGUUCAAGUCGCGUGUGAAAGCUCCCGGCUCAACUGGGAGAGGUCCUUGGAUACUGGCGGACUUGAGGGAGGCAGAGGAAAGUGGAAUUCCCGGUGUAGUGGUGAUAUGCGUAGAUAUCGGGAGGAACACCAGUGGCGAAGGCGGUUUUCUGGGCCUUACCUGACGCUGAGACGCGAAAGCGUGGGGAGCGAACCGG
This 253-nucleotide ribosomal RNA is filed under the name uncultured bacterium. Its description in RNAcentral is "partial 16S ribosomal RNA". It matches the Rfam family "Bacterial small subunit ribosomal RNA", at positions 524 to 776 of the family's 1533-position model. The record is from RNAcentral.